GACGAACGCUGGCGGCGCGCUUAACACAUGCAAGUCGAACGGAAAGGCCCUCUUUUCGUUGUGUGCUCGGGUGGCUAACGUGUGAGAAACGCGUGUGACACCUGCCUGUUCUUCUGGGAUAACGUCAGUAAACUUGGGCUACUACCUGAUAUGAGCGCCAGCUGUGUGGGGGGGGUUGGAAAGUUUCGGAGGUUGGCGUUGUACUCGCGGCUUAUCAGCCUGUCGGUGGGGUUGUGGCUUACGAAGGCUCUGACGGGUAGCGGGCCUGAGAGGGUGACCGGCGACAUUGGGACGGCGAUACGGGCCGGAAGCCUACGGGAGGCAGGAGUGGGGGAUGUUGCACUAUGGGCGGAAGCCUGAGGCAGCAACGCCGCGUGCGGGAUGACGGCCUUCGGGUUGUAGACCGCUUGCGCCUGUGACGAAGCGUGAGUGACGGUAAUGGGUAAAGAAGCACCGGCUAACUACGUG
This 468-nucleotide ribosomal RNA is filed under the name uncultured bacterium. RNAcentral's name for it is "partial 16S ribosomal RNA". It matches the Rfam family "Bacterial small subunit ribosomal RNA", at positions 28 to 507 of the family's 1533-position model. The record is from RNAcentral.